Molecule: ribosomal RNA, 301 nt
Filed under: uncultured bacterium
Lineage: Bacteria
Description: partial 16S ribosomal RNA
Rfam family: Bacterial small subunit ribosomal RNA
Source: RNAcentral
CAGCAGCCACGGUAAUACAGAGGUCCCGAGCGUUGUUCGGAUUCACUGGGCGUAAAGGGUGUGUAGGAGGUUGGAUAAGUCAGGUGUGAAAUCCCGCAGCUCAACUGCGGAACUGCAUUCGAUACUGUUCAACUAGAGGAUCGGAGGGGGAAGCGGAAUUCUUGGUGUAGCGGUGAAAUGCGUAGAUAUCAAGAGGAACACCGGUGGCGAAGGCGGCUUCCUGGAAGAUACCUGACUCUGAAACACGAAAGCCAGGGGAGCGAAUGGGAUUAGAGACCCCGGUAGUCCCUGUCUCUUAUAC